Molecule: ribosomal RNA, 252 nt
Filed under: uncultured Staphylococcus sp.
Lineage: Bacteria; Bacillati; Bacillota; Bacilli; Caryophanales; Staphylococcaceae
Description: partial 16S ribosomal RNA
Rfam family: Bacterial small subunit ribosomal RNA
Source: RNAcentral
ACGUUAGCGGCGGACGGGUGAGUAACACGUGGGUAACCUACCUAUAAGACUGGGAUAACUCCGGGAAAACCGGGGCUAAUACCGGAUAACACAUGAAACCGCAUGGUUUCAUGAUGAAAGACGGUUUUGCUGUCACUUAUAGAUGGACCCGCGGCGUAUUAGCUAGUUGGUAAGGUAACGGCUUACCAAGGCAACGAUACGUAGCCGACCUGAGAGGGUGAUCGGCCACACUGGAACUGAGACACGGUCCAG